GGCAGCCUGAAAGACAAUACUAUUUGUUUACACUUUACCAAGCUGAAUUGUAUGUAAACCUCAACUUGAAUUCUUUCAUAAGGUCCCUCUCUGGCCUGACCAGAUCUGAAACCUCCACACCACAUUUGACAAUUGGUGGCAGUGCUGGGAUGUGAGUGAGUGAUGCCUUUAUGGAGUAUCGGCCAGCAGUGGUGUCCAUCAGUGUAAAGAUGACAGGAGGAAGGCAUAAGUUAAAGCCAGCUGUCAGCUCAUGAAAGAGUCAUGGCGGAAAAUAUUAUCUAUGUAAGCUAGUUGGCUAGAGUUUUGACCUGUCAAUUAGUUGGCCCUAAUAACAAUUUGGGGUUAUGCAUAGUGUAAAUGUAACGGAUGUGAAACGGCUAGCUUAGUUAGCGGUGUGCGCGAAAUAGCGUUUCAAUCGGUGACGUCACUUGCUCUGAGACCUUGAAGUAGUAGUUCCCCUUGCUCUGCAAGGGCCGCGGCUUUUGUGGAGCGAUGGGUAACGACGCUUCGUGGGUGACUGUUGUUGAUGUGUGCAGAAGGGUAUGGGCGAAGGGGCAGUUUAAAAUUAUACUGUUACAUAAAGUUAGUGGCUAGGCUGAUAUUAGCGGUCAUGACUGUUAGUGCCAUUACUAUGAUGGCGUUAUGUCGACUUUGUGACAGACGUUUCAGGUAAAGUGUUACCGAGAAUUGAAUCUGUACAUUCACUUUUUAAACCAUUGGUCGGGGUGUUACUGUGGUCAGGCGCAGGCCUACCAUUUCCACAUCAUUAACCUCAGUUCGUCUCCCUUUUAAGAGAACGACAGGCAUUUUCUGGGUGAAAAAUAAGGCUGGAAUGAAAGAACCAUCUGUCGUCUUGUCUGGACAGAAACUAUUUCAGAAGCUGCUGUACAGAUGUUCUGUAGACAUGUUUGACAGACCGAGGACCUGAGGGAAGAGUAGAGGCUCUUAAAAACUACCCAGGAACACGUGUUCAAGGAAUGACACAAAGGUGUUGGGAUUCCCAAUGGAGGGAUAGACAGACAGGCAUUCCUGACUGCAUGCCUUCCUGUGCUCUGGCUGCGGGUGAUGAGUCUAGCAGAGGAAAGCCGCCUGGGGGCAGGAGGCGGCUGGUCUUGCGGUGACAGAGGCAGCGUACCCACGAGGAUCUUCCAGACAGGUAGGCCCGGCAGGUCCAGCGAGAUGAGGUGCCUGAGG
This is a long non-coding RNA of Oncorhynchus masou masou (cherry salmon), 1194 nucleotides long. RefSeq lists it as uncharacterized. The transcript has 3 exons. The record is from RefSeq and is a predicted model, not a curated record. Lineage: Eukaryota; Metazoa; Chordata; Actinopteri; Salmoniformes; Salmonidae.